CGCCUUCAGAUAGUCCCAAUAAAGGCAGAGGGGUUGGAUGAAAAGGUACUCCACCACGGCUACUCUCUACAAAUGAGUGCAAAAAGGUUGAUAGCACUCUUUGUGGUGGCCCAUCCAAUAUCGGUUGAUGCUGAGAAGCAGGAACUUGGUCAUAAAUACGAUCAAAUUCAGCAAGACUUGGUUGCAUUUCUCUCAAGUGGGCAGGAGGAGGACCGCCCUGUACCUCAUUCCAUGCAGAGGCCAUACCACUGUGAUUGGCAGCCGAGUGGAAGCCAUUAAAAAAAUUUGACGCCUGCUGAUUGGGUUGAAGCGGUGGGUGAUCAAACUCAGACCCAGGGAGCUGCUCAUGGG
This 351-nucleotide unclassified non-coding RNA is filed under the name Hevea brasiliensis (rubber tree). The record is from RNAcentral. Lineage: Eukaryota; Viridiplantae; Streptophyta; Magnoliopsida; Malpighiales; Euphorbiaceae.